ACAGGGGGAUCCAGGAGCGCUCCUCUGGAUCAUAACCCUAACCUGACAAAACCUUGACAAACUGCUGUCUGCGUCACAAAAAUGGCUGCAUUUUUGACAAAUUCAUAAAGUAACAGUUUAGCUACCGUUGGCUUAAAGGCCUGUGGUAUAUAGCCACUCACCUUUUACUAUUUGACAGAACUGGCUCGCUGCCACUUUAUCCUCUUCUGCAAAAGAAAAUUUGUUAAAAUUGUUCAAAGUUAAAAGGUCGCCUUUGGAUGAGCAGCUGCAAGUAGAGCUGUAUAGAGAGAUUCAUUUGAAAAGAUGUUAGGACAAAAAAAAGAGCCCGAAACAAAAGAAAAACCAACCAACAAAAUCACACAUCAAACACAGACACAUUAAUGUAUAUACACAAAGCCAUUUGUUUUUGUUUUUUUAUUUUUAGAUAUUUUGGAGAAAGAAUCACCAACAACCAAAGUGAACUCACCAUGUACCAUGACCACAGAAGAAGUCUCAAGAAAGAUAAACACAAAAUCAUGAUUUACCUUGACCACAGGUAUGACAUACAAUUCAUGUGAAUAUUAACACUGAUCAUCACACAUCACUUCUUAAAUCUUAGAUCUUAAAUAUUUCUGGUGCUUUUACAGCAGAAUUGAGUCUCAGCAGUUUCAGUGCUUCCACUUCUACCACUUCUGUCAUCUCACCAUCAGGUAAUUAAAUUACUGAUGUUUUAUUUGUGACAAUAGUUAAUAAUAAAUCAGAGCAGACAUUAAUCUCCUUUUCAGUUAGAGAUGAGAUGUGUUUGUGGUUUCCUAAACAGGAAUGAGGACACUGACUGUUGUGCUGGUCGUCGUUGGUUCUGGUGUAACUGUGGGUGCCAUCUUAUUGGUACUGGCACUUUUCAGAUCUAAAAGAAGAACUGGCGAAAUCUCAAUCAGUUAAUAUGUGAAAGUGUGCAGAUGUAUAUGAGAGUUAGAGUGUAAUAUUAACAUUUCACACUGAGUGGAUUAAUACUGACUACAGUGUCUUUUUCUUACAAGCAGUUUUGUAGUCAGAUUUGUUGUUAGAGGCUCUUCUGUUUCACAGACGUCUCACUGAAUCAGAGCUUGUCAGUUUGUAAUUAAAGGCUGUAAAGCUGAUCUGAUGCCCAACAUGACCCCAGCAGACUAACUGUCACUUCUUUAUUGCUGUUUGUUCCAGAGGGAUAUUCUCUAAAGAGGUAAGAAACCUGUUUUCAGCAAACCUGAGUAGUAAGUAUUUUUUUGUUAUCACUUGUAUAGGCAGAAGUUAAACUUACUGACUUUAGAUUGUUUUCUUAUUCAGCAACUAAGAAUUAUUGAGUUGUGGAUUAAAUGCCUUGCUCAGGGGCAGUGGGGCACUUCAGGGCAGAAAGUCCAUUCACUUUCCUGUGAAACAGCCUUUAAAGUACUAACCAAACAGAGUAAUACGAUCGGUCUAUGGAGAAUAAUCAGCAUUUAUAUUAGUUUUUGUUUAAUUUUUCAAUUAAUUUUCCUUUUUUUAUGUUUAGGACAACAGCCAUCAUCCAAGGUGUUAGAUUAAUUUAGCAGCAUCAAUGUGUUGUUAAUUUAUACAAUACCCAGUACAGUAUUUAUUUACUUAUUUAUUUAUUUACCUCCUGCUGCAGAUGACUUUGUGUGCAUGACAAGUAUUGACCCUGGAAGAAUGGUAAAUAAAUGAAAAUGCUUGUCAAAUCUUACACUAAUAUAACUAAUAUAAUUAAAGGUGUGUUAACUUUUAAUGUAUUAUUAAUGGAUUUUUUCAUUUAAUGUCCUCUUUCCUGUUGUUUUAAGUUACCUGAAGGUGAUGAUGGAGCCUACAGUGUGAUCACUUCAAUACCUGGUGCCAGCUGUGCUACUGGUGAGCUGUUUUUAUUUAUUUAUUUAUUUUUAUUAACCUUUUUUGCUUUACACCUCCUUAAAUACUGUAGUACUGGGGGAAUUACAAAUGGCAAUGUUGUAAUUAUAUUAUUAUACCAUAGCAGGUUUUAUGUGGGGGCAGAGGUUGUUGAAGGGAUGACAUAAUAUGUGACAACUGGGGUACCUCAACAGCAAUAUGAAAACAGAUAUUUAUAUAUAUGCUGUAAAUUGUACAUUGUUAUGGAUGUUUGGUGAGACUUGUGUUUGAAAAUAAGUUAAAUAUGGCAGCACCUUAUCUGCAAUAACACACAGCUACACAGUUUUUAAUUAUACUUGUGGACAUCCACCAUCCACCAGGGGCUGCUGCAGGACCCUCAGUGUCCCUAAUCCCUGCAGUCCUGACAGCUUUAUAGAGAAUGUACAAUAGAUUCCUCAGUUUGUCUGCAGAUUUAAUUGUUUACAAGGUGUUUCUUUCAAAGUAUGACAAAGUGAAUACUAUAUCAUAUAAAGAGUUGCACCACUGAAAAAGCAAAUCUUUCAGUAACAUCGUUGCUUUUAUUUUUCUAUUGCAUGAAAAACACCAACAAAUUAUUUUGCUGCUUUGUGAUGAGGAAAACGAUGACAUGACAAGCUCAUGAUGUUUCAGGUCCUC
Long non-coding RNA from Oreochromis niloticus (Nile tilapia), 2508 nucleotides. The record is from Ensembl. Lineage: Eukaryota; Metazoa; Chordata; Actinopteri; Cichliformes; Cichlidae.